Triticum aestivum (bread wheat) is the source of this 61-nucleotide non-coding RNA. The record is from Rfam. NCBI's taxonomy places the organism in Eukaryota, Viridiplantae, Streptophyta, Magnoliopsida, Poales, Poaceae.
GGCUGGUUAGAGCGUCGUGCUAAUAACGCGAAGGUCACAGGUUCGAGACCUGUAUGGGCCA